This 522-nucleotide ribosomal RNA is filed under the name uncultured bacterium. Its description in RNAcentral is "bacterial SSU rRNA". It matches the Rfam family "Bacterial small subunit ribosomal RNA", at positions 8 to 518 of the family's 1533-position model. The record is from RNAcentral.
AGAGUUUGAUUCUGGCUCAGGAUGAACGCUAGCUACAGGCUUAACACAUGCAAGUCGAGGGGCAGCAGGACGAUAGCUUGCUAUUGUUGCUGGCGACCGGCGCACGGGUGAGUAACGCGUAUCCAACCUUCCCCUUAGUAGGGCAUAGCCCGGUGAAAAUCGGAUUAAUACCCUAUGUUGUGUCAUGAGGACAUCUGAAUAACACUAAAGAUUUAUCGCUAAGGGAUGGGGAUGCGUCCGAUUAGGUAGUCGGCGGGGUAACGGCCCACCGAGCCCUCGAUCGGUAGGGGUUCUGAGAGGAAGGUCCCCCACACUGGUACUGAGACACGGACCAGACUCCUACGGGAGGCAGCAGUGAGGAAUAUUGGUCAAUGGGCGCGAGCCUGAACCAGCCAAGUAGCCGUGCAGGAUGACGGCCCUAUGGGUUGUAAACUGCUUUUAUACGGGGAUAAAGUGAGGGACGUGUCCCUUAUUGUAGGUACCGUAUGAAUAAGGACCGGCUAAUUCCGUGCCAGCCGCAGC